This 249-nucleotide ribosomal RNA is filed under the name uncultured bacterium. RNAcentral's name for it is "partial 16S ribosomal RNA". It matches the Rfam family "Bacterial small subunit ribosomal RNA", at positions 57 to 305 of the family's 1533-position model. The record is from RNAcentral.
GCAAGUCGAACGGUAGAUUCUACUUCGGUGGAAUUGAGAGUGGCGCACGGGUGCGUAACGCGUAUGCAACCUACCCUUAACAGGGGGAUAGCCCGAAGAAAUUCGGAUUAAUACCCCAUAGUAUUACAGAUUGGCAUCAUGAAUAAUUAAAGGAUUUAUCGGUUAAGGAUGGGCAUGCGUAACAUUAGAUAGUUGGUGAGGUAAUGGCUCACCAAGUCUACGAUGUUUAGGGGUUCUGAGAGGAUGAUC